Long non-coding RNA from Paramisgurnus dabryanus, 781 nucleotides. RefSeq lists it as uncharacterized. NCBI's taxonomy places the organism in Eukaryota, Metazoa, Chordata, Actinopteri, Cypriniformes, Cobitidae. The record is from RefSeq and is a predicted model, not a curated record.
GAAAAACGGAAGUGACACAGCAAGCAAAUGACAACUUUCAUCUUUCAUUCCAAUUUGUUAACAUUUUAAAAAGAUAUAGCCCAUAAGACAUUAGGGAUAUAUCAUGAAGCCGAGAUUUGUGCAAAACUGGCACAGAACAAAUGUGCUACUUGGCCGAUGUCUGGUGUGUCAGGGCAUGCUGGGAAUGUCCGCAGACCUCACAGUCUGUGCUACUUUGUUGGCAUCUGGACACACUCCCACCCUUAGUCUGUGACCAAGACAAGACUGAGUACAAAUGCUUUCAAGACUGAGACCGAAACCAUCAAAAAAAGACUUACAACUGUCUCAAAUACUAUAACACUGUUUCUGGGUAUGUGGAAUUUUCAUUUAAUACUGUCAGUCAAUAUGAAGUUUGUUUGAUUUGUUAAUCAAAUACUACCAUAGCAGACACCUUGGAGUAUGCCCUCUCCUGUUACACUUAUUGCUUAGUGACAAAUGAAUACAAGGAAAUGUAAACACUCCCUCAGUUUAUCACUUGUGUAGAAUAAUGCCAUCAGCGAGCCUUAUGAGUGUUGUAAAAAUAUUUCAGGAGAAACAUUUAGGAAUUAUUCAUAAUGGGGGACAAAAAGUAUGAUGCUUUGUAUUAAAUACAAUACAAUAAUUACAAUGUGACACUGUUUUAUAGAGUGGGAUCUACCAGGUGUCUACAAGGUUGUAGUGUUGACUGCAUUUGUCAAUGUACAACAUUAAUAACUAUUCAAUCCAGCUCAUCUAUUUUUAAUAAAACAACCCAACAUCCAAA